GGACUCAUGGGAGACUGCCGGGGUCAACUCGGAGGAAGGUGAGGACGACGUCAAAUCAUCAUGCCCCUUAUGUCUUGGGCUUCACGCAUGCUACAAUGGCCGGUACAAUGGGUUGCGAUACUGUGAGGUGGAGCUAAUCCCAAAAAGCCGGUCUCAGUUCGGAUUGGGGUCUGCAACUCGACCCCAUGAAGUCGGAGUCGCUAGUAAUCGCAGAUCAGCAACGCUGCGGUGAAUACGUUCCCGGGCCUUGUACACACCGCCCGUCAAGUCACGAAAGUUGGUAACACCCGAAGCCGGUGGCCUAACCCUUGUGGGGGGAGCCGU
Molecule: ribosomal RNA, 324 nt
Filed under: Micrococcaceae bacterium NASA2-37
Lineage: Bacteria; Bacillati; Actinomycetota; Actinomycetes; Micrococcales; Micrococcaceae
Description: bacterial SSU rRNA
Rfam family: Bacterial small subunit ribosomal RNA
Source: RNAcentral